AGAUGGAUGAAUGACAGUUCCCUCCCCCCUCCCCAACUUUGCUCUGACGGCGGAGUUCGGCCUCAGAAG
This is a non-coding RNA of Diplonema papillatum, 69 nucleotides long. Lineage: Eukaryota; Euglenozoa; Diplonemea; Diplonemida; Diplonemidae. The record is from the annotation of a GenBank genome assembly.